AACACUGCGUUAAUAAAUAAAUAACCCUAAAUGCACAGUACGAAAUCGCCAACCUCCGUUCCCGCUUACGGGAUUGUGGCAACUGAGCUGUGAGGCUUCCUGGAAUACUGGUGGGUGAUGUUGCCCUGGAAGUAUGUGGCAGCAAACUUCUGGAACUUGAACUCGGACAAAUCUUCUUCAUCCUCGGGCGCUAGCAUCAUCGGACUGAUGAUUUCAUGCUGGUCUUUAGAAACUGGCAGAUCCUUCAACAAGAAUUUUAAUCAAUCAUCAGUCAGGUGGCUAACAUUAUUUUGACAAUGUGAAAAAGUACAUGUUUCAGAUAACAUAAUGUUACUUAUUUUAAUCAAUUUACAGAAACCAAAAGCAAUAAUGCCAUGUGACUAAAGCCUAAUAGCUAGCAAAAUAAUGGGACCCUCAUUUAUUUUUUAAAUAUUGUGUUAAACAAACAGAACAUAUGGAGUGAAACAAAGUGCAUAAAAGGUUUGCUAAAAUGUAAA
Long non-coding RNA from Bacillus rossius redtenbacheri, 497 nucleotides. RefSeq lists it as uncharacterized. The transcript is spliced from 2 exons. The record is from RefSeq and is a predicted model, not a curated record. Lineage: Eukaryota; Metazoa; Arthropoda; Insecta; Phasmatodea; Bacillidae.